This 401-nucleotide ribosomal RNA is filed under the name uncultured bacterium. RNAcentral describes it as "bacterial SSU rRNA". It matches the Rfam family "Bacterial small subunit ribosomal RNA", at positions 357 to 775 of the family's 1533-position model. The record is from RNAcentral.
GGGAAUAUUGCACAAUGGGGGGAACCCUGAUGCAGCGACGCCGCGUGGGUGAAGGAGCACCUCGGUGCGUAAAGCCCUAUCGGCAGGGAAGAAACAGACGGUACCUGACUAAGAAGCCCCGGCUAACUACGUGCCAGCAGCCGCGGUAAUACGUAGGGGGCAAGCGUUAGCCGGAUUCACUGGGUGUAAAGGGAGCGUAGACGGCGACGCAAGCCAGGAGUGAAAGCCCGGGGCCCAACCCCGGGACUGCUCUUGGAACUGCAUGGCUGGAGUACAGGAGGGGCAGGCGGAAUUCCUAGUGUAGCGGUGAAAUGCGUAGAUAUUAGGAGGAACACCGGUGGCGAAGGCGGCCUGCUGGACUGUGACUGACGUUGAGGCCCGAAGGCGUGGGGAGCAAACAG